Long non-coding RNA from Armigeres subalbatus, 678 nucleotides. RefSeq lists it as uncharacterized. NCBI's taxonomy places the organism in Eukaryota, Metazoa, Arthropoda, Insecta, Diptera, Culicidae. The record is from RefSeq and is a predicted model, not a curated record. The transcript has 4 exons.
UCAAACUAAUAAAUUAGUUUUCAACAACUAAAUUUUAGUUUGUUUCCAUCAAAAACCUGGUUGUUUAUUGUUGAUUUGCAUUAUUCAAAUCAAACAUGUGUUCUAGGUUGAUUCAACCAAAGCAAAUAUUUAAAUCAAGCUAAAUUUGUGUUUGCUCAAAAUCAUGCCGCUGUUCUCCGCUCCCGGGUUUGGAGUUUGCCCCAUUAUGGGUGCAUCUGCGAUACGAAUUACGAUUACUGCCGGGUCGUCGAAUAGAAAUUGCGACUUUCAAUACUAUUCAGCGGCAAGCAAUCCAGGAAAUCGAAUCAGCUAGAAUGCCGAUCGGGGUUUCGACUCGGAUUUCGAUGGGGAAUCGAAUAGGAGACGUUUGUAGCCGCGGUCAUUUAACCUUUUGUGAAGUUUUAAGUUUAUUCUACUGUCUACAGUUGGAUGAAAAAUGCCCAUAUAACCGAGGUGAAAAAAUCCUUACAGUAAUAAAAAAAAUAAUACUUUGUGCUGAUCCGCAAGCAGGAAGAGCCGGGUUUAUACGGUUUGGAAUCAUUACGAGGGAACUGGAUCCACUGAAGCACAAUGGCAUUUUGUUAUGGGCUGAUAUAUAAUCAAAUGAACAAUAUGUGUUGUAGAACAUUUGUAUAAAUCUAUACAUAUCCAUUACUCCGUAGAAAUGUGCAUAUAAAU